GGGGAAUAUUGCGCAAUGGGGGAAACCCUGACGCAGCGACGCCGUGUGAGGGAAGAAGGCUUUCGGGUCGUAAACCUCUGUCGGGAGGGAAGAACCUUCCAGGUCUGAAUAAGCCCUGGAACUGACGGUACCUCCAAAGGAAGCACCGGCUAACUCCGUGCCAGCAGCCGCGGUAAUACGGAGGGUGCAAGCGUUAAUCGGAAUCACUGGGCGUAAAGCGCGCGUAGGCCGCCUUUUAAGUCGGACGUGAAAGCCCUCGGCUCAACCGAGGAACUGCGUUCGAAACUGGGAGGCUUGAGUCCUGGAGAGGGUGGCGGAAUUCCGGGUGUAGGAGUGAAAUCCGUAGAUAUCCGGAGGAACACCGGUGGCGAAGGCGGCCACCUGGACAGGUACUGACGCUGAGGCGCGAAAGCGUGGGGAGCAAAC
This 426-nucleotide ribosomal RNA is filed under the name uncultured bacterium. Its description in RNAcentral is "bacterial SSU rRNA". It matches the Rfam family "Bacterial small subunit ribosomal RNA", at positions 356 to 773 of the family's 1533-position model. The record is from RNAcentral.